Molecule: RNA transcript, 3600 nt
Organism: Rhodamnia argentea
Lineage: Eukaryota; Viridiplantae; Streptophyta; Magnoliopsida; Myrtales; Myrtaceae
Gene name: probable methyltransferase PMT25
Exons: 12
Source: RefSeq, a predicted model, not a curated record
UCUCCAGAAGAAAUAAUCGACCCCCCGUGAUUGCCGCACACUGCUUUGGCAAACGUUACUGUUCACUCCAGGACCCGUAUGAGAAGGUUUCGUCCAGCUACAUGGGUUGUCGUACGAGAUGAGAUCUGGCUCGACGCCCCCUCCAGUUUCGAUCUCUCUCUCUCGUUGACGUCCUCUGCAAUCCUAGGAAAGCAACACGACGCCGCAUUGGUCAGCUCGGUCACCGGAAAGCUCCACUUCGCAGCGAUGUCCGUCUCUGAAGAUUUGACAGGGUGAUCAUUGGAAGCCAAGAGGCGACAGAGGUGUUUAUAGCUCAGAAAAAUAUUUACAGCAGUGGCGCAUGGCUUCAGGAAAUUUUUCUCCAUUCGAUGUGAGAAAAUCAUCAAAUCACUGUUCGAGGCUUGCUGUGGUUGUGUUUGUGGCAUUUAGCUUAUCUGCGAUUUGGAUAUUCCUUCCAUCUUCAUCUACUUUUCCAGUUCAGAAUCCUGACUUGCUACAUCAAGAGAAUAAUAAUUUGGGACGAAAAGUAACUGAUGGAAGCUCAGGGAAUACUCAAAUUCAAAACCCGGAUGUUGCAAACAAUGACAAAAGAACAAUUGAAACAGGGUCCGGGAAUGCAGUUCAGCAAGCCAAGGCUGAUUCUGCUAAUACAGCGGGAGCAAACCAGGAAGAGAAAAUACCAGAGGACAGCACUAAUAUGAAGACAUCCUCAGCAAACACACCUGACAAAUCUGACAUUGAGUCUAAAUUUGAGGAUGGAACAGAGGAUAUACAGAAAAGUAACCAGCACGAGAGCGUUGAGUCUGGAGAGAAACCAAAUGUGGAAACGAGAAAAACAGAUGGAGGUCAACAUGAUGGAGAACAAAGUAUGGCUAGUGAAGGAUCUGAUUCUGAUGAAAAGUUGAAUUGGUCAAAAGGAAAUGAUUCUGACGUGGAUGAUAGCACCAAAAGACCGAAUGCUCAGGACAGCUUUGAUGAGGUUAAGCAGGAAGAAAAAGAGGUCAAGCAGAAUAGUCAGAGUGUUCGGGAAGAUCAAGACAAGAAUAAUGAACCAGAGGUUGCUGACAAUAACCUAGAAACUCAGGAAAUGAUUCAGGAGUCCAAUGAUCAGUCGGAUAGUUUCAAUGAGAUAACUGCUCAACAAGGCUCAAUGUCUAAGGAACCAAAUGACUAUGUCUGGAGAGUUUGUAAUACCACGGCUGGGCCAGACUACAUCCCUUGCCUUGACAAUGUAUAUGCUGUCAGAAGGCUUCCUACUACAAUGCAUUAUGAACAUCGAGAGAGGCACUGCCCUGAUGAUGCUCCUACCUGUCUUGUUCCUCUACCAGCAGGAUACAGAAAGCCAAUUCAAUGGCCUAUAAGCAGGGAUAAGAUAUGGUUUUACAAUGUGCCACACACCGAGCUUGCAAGGAUUAAGGGACGUCAAAACUGGGUUAAAGUUGCUGGUGAAUAUCUCAUAUUCCCUGGAGGUGGAACCCAGUUUGUUCAUGGCGCUAUCCCCUAUAUUGAUCGGAUUGAAGAUGCAAAUCCUGCUAUUGCAUGGGGGAAGAGAACCCGGGUGAUAUUAGAUGUUGGAUGUGGUGUAGGAAGUUUCGGAGGUUAUCUAUUUGAAAGGGAUGUUCUUACUAUGUCGUUUGCUCCCAAAGAUGAGCAUGAAGCUCAAGUUCAGUUCGCACUUGAACGGGGUAUUCCGGCCAUACUAGCAGUCAUGGGCACCAAAAGGCUACCAUUUCCUGGUGGGGUUUUCGAUGCUAUUCACUGUGCUCGCUGCAGAGUCCCUUGGCACAUAGAAGGGGGCAAACUUCUCUUGGAGCUUAACCGCCUCUUACGGCCAGGUGGUUACUUUGUUUGGUCUGCUACUCCACUUUAUCGAAAGGAUCCAGAAAAUGUUGGCAUUUGGAAAGAAAUGUCCAAACUGACUACGGCUAUGUGCUGGAAUUUCACGGUGAUUAAAAAGGACAAACUGAACAAAGUGUCCAUUGCAAUGUACAGGAAACCGACAUCUAAUGAGUGCUACGAAAGUAGAACCCAAAAUGAACCUCCACUCUGCAAUGACUUGGAGGAUGCAAACUCAGCUUGGAAUGUGACACUGCAAGCCUGCAUGCAUAAGGUGCCUACAGACAUGUCGGAACGUGGGUCUCAGUGGCCUGAGAAUUGGCCACUUCGUUUGGGAAAACCACCUUACUGGCUGAAUAAAGUUGCAGUAUAUGGCAAGGUGGCCCAAGGAGAUUUUAAUGCUGACUAUGAGCACUGGAAAAAUGUAGUCUCCCAAACAUAUUUGAAUGGGAUUGGCAUCAGCUGGUCUUCUAUUAGGAAUGUCAUGGAUAUGAGAGCUCUCUAUGGAGGGUUUGCUGCUGCCCUUAAGGACUUAAAAGUGUGGGUAAUGAAUGUUAUCCUGAUUGACUCUCCUGACACACUUCCUAUUAUCUACGAGCGUGGUCUAAUUGGAAUAUACCAUGAUUGGUGUGAAUCAUUCAACACCUACCCAAGAUCAUAUGAUCUCCUCCAUGCGGAUUAUCUCUUUGCCACUCUCAAGAAGAGGUGCAAGUUGGUUCCAGUUCUUGCAGAAGUUGAUCGGAUCUUGAGGCCAGAAGGAAUUCUAAUUGUUAGGGAUGAUAUGGAGAUUAUAUCUGAGAUUGAGAGUAUGGCUAAAUCUCUGCAAUGGGAGGUCAGAUUCGCACACUCAGAGGACAACACGGGGUUGCUUUGUGUUCAGAAGACAUUUUGGCGUCCGGUCGAUGUGGAAACAAUUACUUCGGCCAUUGCUUGAGCACAUGAUUCACUUAUGUUGUUAUCACGAGUUGACUCGUUGCUCGGAUGAGUUUACAAGAUAUACCAACAUCAUACAUUGAGCUUGGAUCAAAUGAGAGGCAAACUAGCUGAUUUGAUGACUCAAGCACACGCGAGCACCAUUAGUAUUGCAUCACGCUGUUGCUGCUCCAUUUGAUUGCUCAAGCCUGAGGUUUAGAUAUAUUAUAAAUAGACAGAUCUGGAUAAAUCUUGUUGAGAUUAUACACGGCAUUGCUCUAGCCGCACAGUCUAGAUUCUGUCUUCCUCCAGAUCAUCCUACUAAUGUCAGCAGGGAGGCCAGAGAAAAUUUGUGAAACCCCUCGGAGAUCCAAAUCUUUCCAAGAUUUGGGUGUACAUGUUCUUGGCCUGUGGUUUCUAAAUACUUUGUGCAGAGGCAGUGCAAGAAGUCCAUAAUAAUCUUUCAAGUAGGAAGGCGAACCGCUUUUGUUGUUGGGGCCUUGCAACACUUUGGAAUCUGUUUCUACUAGUCUUCCUGUUUCCAUAGUACAUAUGACUGUUGUCCCUCAUGGUAUUUGUUAUAAAGUUUAUCAUAGUUGAAAUUCUUUUUGGGUACUCUCACGAGAUCAUAAGGGUUAGUGGGACACUCUUGGUUCAAAGAGGAUGCCUUAUGGUAAGACUUUCGCAGUGCACAUGUCCAGGAUAUCGCCUUGAUUCCUGAAUUGUAUGGUUUUGGAGUGCCGAACGAAAUUUGAUCUUAACACAACAGUCAGGGAAUUCAUUCUCCCCAUCAAUCUUUGAAUGUCUUUUGUCUGUUAAACUACCUCCAUAAUGAUAUAUUAAGUAUCCAGC